UGUCUCCUCCACCCUCCUCCUUUGGUGGAUUUGGCCCGAGAUCCUUGGAUCUCGGGCCCUUUUUU
RNAcentral lists this non-coding RNA (65 nucleotides) under Orrella dioscoreae. Its description in RNAcentral is "Betaproteobacteria toxic small RNA". It matches the Rfam family "Betaproteobacteria toxic small RNA". Rfam says of the family: Overexpression in amino aid rich medium attenuates growth, suggesting role in repressing amino acid intake and metabolism. The record is from Rfam by way of RNAcentral. Lineage: Bacteria; Pseudomonadati; Pseudomonadota; Betaproteobacteria; Burkholderiales; Alcaligenaceae.